Molecule: long non-coding RNA, 1437 nt
Filed under: Dromaius novaehollandiae (emu)
Lineage: Eukaryota; Metazoa; Chordata; Aves; Casuariiformes; Dromaiidae
Description: lncRNA (ENSDNVG00000012883.1)
Source: RNAcentral
GAGAGCCAAAGAAGAGAGAGUACAGCUAGAGUGAAAGAAGAUCUUGAUUCAGCAAGGGUGGUAUAAAAGAGGAGAUCUGACAGUUAAAUGGGAGUGAAGAAAAAGCAUCAGGGAAGUUAGUAAGGUUGCAACAGGUAUUAACGAAGCAGGGAAGACCAGGGUCAGUUCGCAGGUCUGUGGUUUAACAAAGUAUUUAAAAUGGGAUUAUUUGGGGGUAUUUUAGACGCUUAGCUUUUAAACAUGUGGGCCUGAGCUGGUCGUUCUCAGCUCUCAUUAUAUCAACAAGGAGAAAUAAGCACUUCAAGGGUGAGAUUCUUCUGACCUAGUUUAGAUGUCUGUCUUUGCAGUGAGCCAAUAAUCUCACCCUAUGAGGUGGCUAGUUCAGAUCUAGCUGUCUGAAUAUUUGGUAUCUGUGUUAUGACAGCAAAUCCCUUUCAGUGUUAAAAGGUCAGAGAAGGGCAGAAGGUGAUGGACCAAGGAGAGGGGAUCAGGGCUAAAGGAAAUGCAUGAAGGACAGCUGCAGUUACAAGGCUGGUGGAAGAGAGAAACAACUUCAUUUCUAACUCAGCAUUGCUCUGUGCUCAGCAGGGAACCUGCGCUCAGGGAGCUGAACUUCUUAAGAAGAUAAAAUCUCAAUAAAUGUCAACCAUGCAAGCAGAUGUGACUGAAGGGCUGGGAAUUUCUGAGUCUGCGUAGAUGCACGUGCCUCAGAAGCAGUGUUACUUAAUACUGCAUAAGAGUGAAGUGACCUGUGAUUCUGACUCACUCAGUUUGAGAUGCUAUUAUGCUUCUGACACUGCUUUACAUAUUCAGUGUACGUGCAAAUAGGAUGAGGCCUGCACUUACACUCGACGAGCGGGAGUAAUACUGUCAUCAGUCUAACUGAGCAAUGUCUGGGUGAAUUGAUAGCGGAAAAUGCGGGGAACAUGCACUCAGAUUCAGAGUAGCUUCACCAGACAACUGUCUGCUGCUUGACUGACUAUUCAACAGCUCACCUGCUCUUGUGUUACAGACUGACUGGACUUGCACAGAAAGUGAGUUGGAAAGGGAAGUAUCUAAAACUUUUGGAGAUUUCUGCUUACUGUAAUAUUUUCAUGUAUUAGAAGAAAAGUAAAAUGGUUUGAUAAGAUAGAAUGGGAUUCUGUGCUGCUCUGUAUUAUAUAUUUUAUUUUCACAGGUUAACUCUGCUGUUUUCAUAUCUUAGGAAGAAGAUCUAAUUCUAUUUUAUUUAAAAAAUUAUGCAAUUCUUCUGAUAAUGCAAAUAGGUCUCACCUGAACUGGGAUUACAGUAGGUUCCUGUGAGGAUCUCAAAGUAGGCACAGAGAUCCCAAUGUAGAAAGUCAAUCUGAGGAAGAAAUACAGCAACUCAAAUCAGCCUGGCUUCAUUUUCUUUGUUUCAGGAUAAACUUCCCAAUAAACAGGAUUUAAUUUUUUUCA